UCAAGUUAUUAAGGGUGCAGGGCGGAUGCCUUGGCACUAGGAGCCGAUGAAGGACGUGAUAAGCUGCGAUAAGCUUCGGGGAGUUGCACGUAAACUUUGAUCCGAAGAUUUCCAAAUGAGGAAACUCACUUAGAGUAAUGUCUAAGUAUCAUUAAGUGAAUACAUAGCUUAAUGAGGGGAACUCAGGGAACUGAAACAUCUAAGUACCUGAAGGAAGAGAAAGAAAUUCGAUUCCGUAAGUAGCGGCGAGCGAACGCGGAUUAGCCCAAACCAAUAAAGUUUUCUUUAUUGGGGUUGCGGACAUAUCAUAACGAAGAGGUAUCGUAAUUGAAGAGGUUUGGAAAGACCCACCACAGAAGGUAAUAGUCCUGUAUGUUAAACGAGAAGACUUUAGAUAUGAUCCAGAGUACCACGGGACACGUGAAACCCUGUGGGAAGCAGGAGGGACCACCCUCCAAGGCUAAAUACUACCUAGUGACCGAUAGCGUAUAGUACCGUGAGGGAAAGGUGAAAAGAACCCCGGGAGGGGAGUGAAAUAGAACCUGAAACCCUGCACUUACAAGCUGUGGAAGCACAUUUCUUGUGUGACCGCGUACUUUUUGUAGAACGGGCCAACGAGUUACGUUAAGUAGCAAGGUUAAGCACUUAAGGUGCGGAGCCGUAGCGAAAGCGAGUUUUAACUGAGCGUUCAGUUACUUGACGUAGACCCGAAACCGGGCGACCUACCCAUGAGCAGGAUGAAGCGAAAGUAAAAUUUCGUGGAGGUCCGAACCCACGAGCGUUGAAAAGCUCGGGGAUGACUUGUGGGUAGCGGUGAAAUUCCAAUCGAGCCCGGAGAUAGCUGGUUCUCCCCGAAAUAGCUUUAGGGCUAGCCUCAAGGUGAGAGAUACGGAGGUAGAGCACUGAAUGUCCUAGGGGGUAUUGCACCUACCGAAGACUAUCAAACUCCGAAUGCCGUCAUCUUAUACUUGGGAGUCAGACUGUGGGUGAUAAGAUUCAUAGUCGAAAGGGCAACAGCCCAGAUCGUCAGCUAAGGUCCCUAAAUGUAAGUUAAGUGGUAAAGGAUGUGGGAUUGCACAGACAACCAGGAUGUUGGCUUAGAAGCAGCCACUCAUUCAAAGAGUGCGUAAUAGCUCACUGGUCGAGUGAUCCUGCGCCGAAGAUUUCCGGGGCUAAAACUUACUACCGAAGCUACGGCAUCAGUAAUGAUGGGUAGGGGAGCUUCCCAUACGGGUUGAAGCAUGACCGUAAGGACAUGUGGACAGUAUGGGAGUGAGAAUGUUGGCAUGAGUAGCGAGAUGUGGGUGAGAAUCCCACAGGCUGUAAACCCAAGGUUUCCAGGGGAAGGUUCGUCCGCCCUGGGUUAGUCGGGACCUAAGCUGAGGCCGAAAGGCGUAGGUGAUGGACAACAGGUUGAUAUUCCUGUACUACCGAUAACCGUUUGAGAGAAGGGAUGACACAGUAGGAUAAGCUAAGCACACUGUUGGUUAUGUGUGCCCAAGCAUUGAGGCAGUCAAAGUAGGCAAAUCCGCUUUGAUAAUGCUGGGAUGUGAUGGGGAGCGAAAUUUAGUAGCGAAGUAGCUGAUUUCACACUGUCAAGAAAAGUCUCUAUCGAGGUUAAAGGUACCCGUACCGCAAACCGACACAGGUGGGUGAGGAGAGUAUCCUAAGGCCAGCGAGAGAACUGUUGUUAAGGAACUCGGCAAAAUGACCCCGUAACUUAGGGAUAAGGGGUGCCACCAUCAGGUGGCCGCAGAGAAUAGGCCCAAGCGACUGUUUACCAAAAACAUAGGUUUCUGCUAAGUCGCAAGACGAUGUAUAGGAGCUGACGCCUGCCCGGUGCUGGAAGGUUAAGGGGAUCUGUUAGAGCAAUCGAAGCAGUGAACUUAAGCCCCAGUAAACGGCGGCCGUAACUAUAACGGUCCUAAGGUAGCGAAAUUCCUUGUCGGGUAAGUUCCGACCCGCACGAAAGGCGUAACGAUUUGGGCACUGUCUCAACAACAGACUCGGUGAAAUUGUAAUUCCGGUGAAGAUGCCGGAUACCUGCGACAGGACGGAAAGACCCCAUGGAGCUUUACUGUAGCUUGACAUUGGGUCUUGGUACUACAUGUACAGGAUAGGUGGGAGGCUUUGAAACCAGGACGCCAGUUUUGGCGGAGCCAUCCUUGGGAUACCACCCUUGUAGUACUGGGACUCUAACCAUAGGCCAUGAAUCUGGUCUUGGGACACUGUCAGGUGGGCAGUUUGACUGGGGCGGUCGCCUCCCAAAAGGUAACGGAGGCGCUCAAAGGUUCUCUCAGUACGGUCGGAAAUCGUACGUAGAGUGUAAAGGCAAAAGAGAGCUUGAUUGCAAGACAUACAGGUCGAGCAAGGAUGAAAAUCGGACUUAGUGAUCCGGUGGUUCUGCGUGGAAGGGCCAUCGCUCAACGGAUAAAAGCUACCCUGGGGAUAACAGGCUUAUCUCCCCCAAGAGUCCACAUCGACGGGGAGGUUUGGCACCUCGAUGUCGGCUCAUCACAUCCUGGGGCUGUAGUAGGUCCCAAGGGUUGGGCUGUUCGCCCAUUAAAGUGGUACGCGAGCUGGGUUCAGAACGUCGUGAGACAGUUCGGUCCCUAUCCGUCGCAGGCGUAGGAAAUUUGAGAAGACCUGUCCUUAGUACGAGAGGACCGGGAUGGACGUACCUCUGGUGUACCAGUUGUCCUGCCAAGGGCAUGGCUGGGUAGCUAUGUACGGAAUGGAUAAGCGCUGAAAGCAUCUAAGCGCGAAGCCAACUUCAAGAUAAGAUUUCCCACCGCAAGGGUAAGACCCCAGAAAGACUAUCUGGUUGAUAGGUCGAAGGUGUAAGUGCAGCAAUGUAUUUAGCUUAUCGAUACUAAUAGGUCGAGGACUUGACCAA
Molecule: ribosomal RNA, 2896 nt
Filed under: Clostridioides difficile
Lineage: Bacteria; Bacillati; Bacillota; Clostridia; Peptostreptococcales; Peptostreptococcaceae
Description: bacterial LSU rRNA
Rfam family: Bacterial large subunit ribosomal RNA
Source: RNAcentral